GUGUCAGCCGCCGCGGUAAUACAGAGGGUGCGAGCGUUGUCCGGAAUCACUGGGCGUAAAGGGCGCGUAGGCGGCUGGGUAAGUAAGGGGUGAAAUCUCACGGCUCAACCGUGGGGCUGCCUCUUCGACUGCCCGGCUCGAGCAUGACAGAGGUCGGUGGAAUUCCCGGUGUAGCGGUGGAAUGCGUAGAGAUCGGGAAGAAUAUCGGUGGCGAAGGCGGCCGACUGGGUCAUUGCUGACGCUGAGGCGCGACAGCGUGGGGAGCAAACAGGAUUAGAAACCCCCGUAGUCC
Molecule: ribosomal RNA, 292 nt
Filed under: uncultured bacterium
Lineage: Bacteria
Description: partial 16S ribosomal RNA
Rfam family: Bacterial small subunit ribosomal RNA
Source: RNAcentral